This 1401-nucleotide long non-coding RNA is filed under the name Elaeis guineensis (African oil palm). RNAcentral's name for it is "long non-coding RNA (EGUI_LNC011945)". Lineage: Eukaryota; Viridiplantae; Streptophyta; Magnoliopsida; Arecales; Arecaceae. The record is from RNAcentral.
GUUUGGGAGAGUUGUGGUGGGCCCAGUGGGGUUUGCAAUUCUCAUUGGAUCAAAACAAAAGGACCUUAAGAGGUUUUCUUCUUUUCUCUUUUCUUUCUCUCUCAUCCUGUGAGGAGCAUACGACCCACAGUGCUCUCUUAUUCCUCUUGAGCAUGCUCCCUCCACCCCACGCUCCAAUACCUGCCUAUCCCACCAGAUUUAGCCAAACAGACCCUCAGCAAGAUAUGGGACCUGACUUCUGAGAGAGGGUACACGUUUGCCAUUAGAAGCCAGUCCAGUAAGCAUUUUUCAUCAGUUAUGACCUUAGAAAAGCUUUGAUCAAAGGCAUCAUGAUAUUUUAAAUGAGUUUCAUAAUCAAAAAAUAAUUUACCAUAUCUGCUCUAUAAAGCUUACCUUUGCCUGCUCAUGGGCCAGCUUCAUUCUUCUAUACUCUUGUUGCGCUCGAUGUGAACGAAACAUAGCUUGGACCCAUACGACUGAUCUUUUCAUGCGUUCUUCAGCUUGCUCCCUACUAAUUUUGAAAAAUUCCUCCUCUGAAGUGCUUUCUUCUUCCGUAUCCACUUUCAUUGCUUCUUUUGGUACAACUCGAAUACCGCGUAAGCCCUUCCUCUUCAACCGCCAACGCAAAACUGCUUUCUCGAGCACUCCAACUGACCAUAAAAUUUUGCAGUAUUGCCUUCUCACUUGGUGACCUCGGAAUGCAGCCUAAGCAGACAUUCUCACUGAAUCAGAUGAUCAAGAAAAUCCUAUAGGCAAGACGCUGCAUGACAUGAUAGCUACCAUAUCAUAGUUUCAAAAGUUUUAAUUGCAUCAUUUUAAGGACUGCAGCUUCCUUAUGGUAGACUACAAAUGACCAACGAUACUUGAAUUGACUAUAUAGAGGACAAUAGAAUUUCAACUCCACAAAAUGAAUAAAAUUUCUAUUGCCUAAAUCCAUACACAAGAUUACCUGGAUCUUGAUAGUUUGUUUACGCAUAUUAAGGAAAUUCCUUCGAAUCCUCCAGGUGCGGAAAUGGCUUUGUAUUCGUGCAGCAGCCCUCAUCGUCCUUCGUCUACUGUAAUUGCGGAAGGCAUGCUGAAUCUUUAGAGCAGAAACUAUCUGGGCGGCUUCAAUUUCAGGUUUGACCAACCGAAUCGCUUUCAUUUGUUGCUUCAAAAUGCGCUCCUUAAAUGCAGCUUGUAUACGACCUGCUGCAUCAGCAGCAUUUCUGUAGGCUGCUAAUGAUUCUUUUAGACAGAGUUCUUGCUCAGUAAGGUUCUCAGGAUAUACAUUCUCAGAGUUCACUUGGUUGGUUGGACUAGGUGGCAUUGGUGCAGUUAUGUUCCCCGACAAGGACAUAGCCUGGACAUGUGCAGUUAAUCCUUUUUCUGCAAGAUAGGCAGCCAAGCCUCCAUACCCUU